Molecule: small nuclear RNA, 106 nt
Filed under: Glossina brevipalpis
Lineage: Eukaryota; Metazoa; Arthropoda; Insecta; Diptera; Glossinidae
Source: RNAcentral
GUUCUUCCUACGGCAGAACAUAUACUAAAAUUGGAACGAUACAGAGAAGUUUAGCAUGGCCCCGCGCAAGGAUCACACGCAAAAUCGUGAAACGUUCCACAUUUUU